Molecule: ribosomal RNA, 462 nt
Filed under: uncultured bacterium
Lineage: Bacteria
Description: partial 16S ribosomal RNA
Rfam family: Bacterial small subunit ribosomal RNA
Source: RNAcentral
GACGAACGCUGGCGGCGUGCUUAACACAUGCAAGUCGAACGGUAAGGCCUUUCGGGGUACACGAGUGGCGAACGGGUGAGUAACACGUGGGUGAUCUGCCCUGCACUUCGGGAUAAGCCCGGGAAACUGGGUCUAAUACCGGAUAGGACUGCGCGGUGCAUGCCGUGUGGUGGAAAGAUUUAUCGGUGCAGGAUGGGCCCGCGGCCUAUCAGCUUGUUGGUGGGGUAAUGGCCUACCAAGGCGACGACAGGUAGCCGGCCUGAGAGGGCGACCGGCCACACUGGGACUGAGACACGGCCCAGACUCCUACGGGAGGCAGCAGUGGGGAAUAUUGCACAAUGGGCGCAAGCCUGAUGCAGCGACGCCGCGUGAGGGAUGACGGCCUUCGGGUUGUAAACCUCUUUCAGCAGGGACGAAGCGUGAGUGACGGUACCUGCAGAAGAAGCACCGGCCAACUACGUG